UAGACCUCAAAUCGGGUGAGACUACCCCGCGACUA
This 35-nucleotide ribosomal RNA is filed under the name uncultured Russula. Its description in RNAcentral is "28S ribosomal RNA". Lineage: Eukaryota; Fungi; Basidiomycota; Agaricomycetes; Russulales; Russulaceae. The record is from RNAcentral.